CGUCUCUCCAAAGCACUAUAUGGUUUGAAGCAAGCUCCUCGUGCCUGGCAUGCCCGCCUUGCCUCUGCCCUUCGUGCUCAUGGGUUUGUGCCGUCCACUGCUGACACUUCAUUAUUUCUUCUACAGAAGCCAGAAGUCACUAUGUAUCUUUUGGUAUAUGUCGAUGAUAUUAUCCUUGUCAGCUCUUCUCAGUAUGCUGCUGAUGCUCUUGUCUGCUCUCUUGGUGCUGAUUUUGCGGUCAAAGAUCUUGGGAAGCUUCACUACUUUCUUGGAGUUGAGGUCACUUCUCGUGCUACUGGUCUUGUCCUUACGCAGAAGAAGUACUCCUUGGAGUUGUUACAAAGAGCGGGCAUGCUGAAGUGCAAACCGACCACCACACCCAUGUCGUCUACUGACAAGAUAACAGCUGUUGAUGGUGAGCUUUUGUCUCCUGCGGAUGCCACAGAGUACAGGAGCAUUGUUGGU
This 465-nucleotide ribosomal RNA is filed under the name Triticum aestivum (bread wheat). RNAcentral's name for it is "partial small subunit ribosomal RNA". The record is from RNAcentral. Lineage: Eukaryota; Viridiplantae; Streptophyta; Magnoliopsida; Poales; Poaceae.